AAUAUAUAUUAGGCCUACUCACGUAAUAGUAUAGGACAGUAUACGACACAGUGUAAGCGCAACUUAAAGAUGUCUGCCAUCUAGCGGUGAUAUUACAAACUAAAACAAGAGUUGACCCCUGCAUUUUCGCAGUUCAGCACCCACAGAUUUUGGAAACACAUACAGGUACAUGUAUUUUUUUUUUCACAUUUGGUGCCAUUUGAAAACCAGUGGGCGUGCAACUCCUCAACUCAACAGCAGAUGGCAGCCUGUUUCCAUUGUUGACGCUGUCGUUCUCCUUCCAGAACUCACAGUCCAGCGUGAGCAAUGCAUUCCCAGUACUCUACUAAAGUCUUUUUCAGCUGCCCGCUUCCAUGGCCAAACCAGGGAGCGAACGUGGCCACUUGGCACCAUGAGAACCGCAACCGCCAUGUGAGGUCUCCAAUGCCCGGGUGCCCAGUCUUGACCGAUGAUCUGCAUACAACACACCUUGGUGAUGGUUGAAUGGCCAGGCGUGGUUUUCAAGGCCCGUGUCCCUUCCUCACGGGCGUGCGAUGAUAGGACUAUCAGUCGCAGGCUCCGCAGUAAAAAGGACAGGAUCCCCUGUACUUUUGUGUCUAUUGCAGAUAAUGGCCUUUCCUCACUUGACAGCAUGUCUUUGCCGAGCCGGAGCACAGUGCAACCAAUGCUUAAGUGUAUCAGGGUGACAAAGUGAUGCCAGAUUCAGUGGUGUCGCAGCCCCGUCAUGUUGUGACACCGCUGACAGCUUGCGGUGUUAAGGACGGGGGGUGGGGGGGGGGGGGGUUGAAUGGAGUUAGAAUAGAUGGUGCAGAAAAGACCCAACUUCCAGAACAACACUUUCGCUAAGAAUCAUGAUCUGUAACACCAGCUGGAACCACUAGAAAGACAGAGAAAAGCAGCAGGAGGACUCUUGGAAGGGAAAGAUACA
Hippocampus comes (tiger tail seahorse) is the source of this 928-nucleotide long non-coding RNA. RefSeq lists it as uncharacterized. NCBI's taxonomy places the organism in Eukaryota, Metazoa, Chordata, Actinopteri, Syngnathiformes, Syngnathidae. The transcript has 3 exons. The record is from RefSeq and is a predicted model, not a curated record.